GAUGAAUGCUAGCGGCAGGCCUAAUACAUGCAAGUCGGACGGGAUUCAGGAGCUUGCUUCUGAUGAGAGUGGCGCACGGGUGCGUAACACGUAUGUAACCUACCUUUAUCAGGGGGAUAGCCUCUCGAAAGAGAGAUUAAGCCCGCAUAAAAUCACAGCACAGCAUUGUGUAAUGAUCAAAUAUUUAUAGGAUAAAGAUGGGCAUGCGGAACAUUAGCUAGAUGGCGGGGUAACGGCCCACCAUGGCGACGAUGUUUAGGGGAUCUGAGAGGAUGGCCCCCCACACGGGUACUGAGACACGGACCAGACUCCUACGGGAGGCAGCAGUAAGGAAUAUUGGUCAAUGGGCGGAAGCCUGAACCAGCCAUGCCGCGUGCAGGAAGACGGCCCUACGGGUUGUAAACUGCUUUUAUACGGGAAUAAACCCAGAUACGUGUAUCUGGCUGAAUGUACUGUAAGAAUAAGGAUCGGCUAACUCCGUG
RNAcentral lists this ribosomal RNA (482 nucleotides) under uncultured bacterium. RNAcentral's name for it is "partial 16S ribosomal RNA". It matches the Rfam family "Bacterial small subunit ribosomal RNA", at positions 28 to 507 of the family's 1533-position model. The record is from RNAcentral.